GAGAUUUGGAGCUUAGAAGAAAGGCAGGAGUUGAUAUUGUACAAAGAUCCUAAUGAAGAUUAUAUAACCUUGGAUGGUUUUGCGUAUUUAUUUGGGUGUUCGGAUAUACCCGAUCGGGUUCGGGUACCCAAUUCAUUUAUUAUAAACAUCCAACCGGAUAUUUUGUAUGAAAUAUACCCAACCUAAACUGUUUACAUCGGGUCGG
RNAcentral lists this long non-coding RNA (205 nucleotides) under Capsella rubella. Its description in RNAcentral is "long non-coding RNA (CRUB_LNC000886)". The record is from RNAcentral. Lineage: Eukaryota; Viridiplantae; Streptophyta; Magnoliopsida; Brassicales; Brassicaceae.